CUCUGCCUGUCAUUUUUGCCUCAGUCAUAUGUCCAACUCAAGAAGCAACCACAUCUCACAGAAAAAAAGUAGGGGGGAGGAAGUAUUUUGAGCUGGGAAUAGAGAAUCCUACCUGAAGAGAAAAGACUGGCUUCUAAUUAAAAUGCAGACAGGAGUCUGAUCUCUCUCCACAUCCGCUGGAAAUUAUUCCUUUAAGCCAGGAGUUUGUAAGAAGCCAGCAGGCAAUGCAGUCAUGUGGUAAUAACCUUCCCACUGCCAAGAUGGAUUAAUGCUGGGAGAGCUUAC
Molecule: long non-coding RNA, 285 nt
Organism: Mustela lutreola (European mink)
Lineage: Eukaryota; Metazoa; Chordata; Mammalia; Carnivora; Mustelidae
Exons: 3
Source: RefSeq, a predicted model, not a curated record